This 404-nucleotide ribosomal RNA is filed under the name Verrucomicrobiota bacterium. RNAcentral's name for it is "Verrucomicrobia bacterium partial 16S ribosomal RNA". It matches the Rfam family "Bacterial small subunit ribosomal RNA", at positions 355 to 776 of the family's 1533-position model. Lineage: Bacteria; Pseudomonadati; Verrucomicrobiota. The record is from RNAcentral.
UGGGGAAUAUUGCACAAUGGGGGAAACCCUGAUGCAGCGACGCCGCGUGAGCGAAGAAGGUUUUCGAAUCGUAAAGCUCUGUCCUAUGGGAAGAUAAUGACGGUACCAUAGGAGGAAGCCCCGGCUAACUACGUGCCAGCAGCCGCGGUAAUACGUAGGGGGCAAGCGUUGUCCGGAAUUAUUGGGCGUAAAGGGCUUGUAGGCGGUUGGCCGCGUCUGCCGUGAAAUCCUCUGGCUUAACUGGGGGCGUGCGGUGGGUACGGGUUGACUUGAGUGCGGUAGGGGAGACUGGAAUUCCUGGUGUAGCGGUGGAAUGCGCAGAUAUCAGGAGGAACACCGGUGGCGAAGGCGGGUCUCUGGGCCGUUACUGACGCUGAGGAGCGAAAGCGUGGGGAGCAAACAGG